Molecule: transfer RNA, 91 nt
Filed under: Blumeria graminis f. sp. tritici
Lineage: Eukaryota; Fungi; Ascomycota; Leotiomycetes; Helotiales; Erysiphaceae
Also listed under: 1 other name
Rfam family: tRNA
About the family: Transfer RNA (tRNA) molecules are approximately 80 nucleotides in length. Their secondary structure includes four short double-helical elements and three loops (D, anti-codon, and T loops). Further hydrogen bonds mediate the characteristic L-shaped molecular structure. tRNAs have two regions of fundamental functional importance: the anti-codon, which is responsible for specific mRNA codon recognition, and the 3' end, to which the tRNAs corresponding amino acid is attached (by aminoacyl-tRNA synthetases). tRNAs cope with the degeneracy of the genetic code in two manners: having more than one tRNA (with a specific anti-codon) for a particular amino acid; and 'wobble' base-pairing, i.e. permitting non-standard base-pairing at the 3rd anti-codon position.
Source: Rfam by way of RNAcentral
GGCAACGUGGCGGAGUGGUUAUCGCGCUAGCCUAGAAUCUCACUGGUAGCUAGUUCCUUCGGGAGCGUCAGUUCGAAUCUGGCCGUUGUCG